This 38221-nucleotide long non-coding RNA is filed under the name Triticum aestivum (bread wheat). RNAcentral describes it as "long non-coding RNA (TAES_LNC019189)". Lineage: Eukaryota; Viridiplantae; Streptophyta; Magnoliopsida; Poales; Poaceae. The record is from RNAcentral.
AGCUUAUAAACAAAUUUUCAGUCUUAACACUGGAUUCUACACCGAUAUACAUGGCUUUAAAGUAUCUGUUUGGCUAAAAAAACUGACGAGUAUACAACUGCAUCUGACCAUCGGAGUGCUACACCGAUAAAUAGGAAGGCUAACUUCUGUCCCAAUGCUCUUUUUUGUGACGAAAAUCUAAUAACAGCGCUUUUUAAACUAUAUGAUUUCAUCGGCAUGGACAGGAUGAACCCGCAUCAGAAAAUCCCGGUGCAUCUUUUUCAUCCUCGUUCACCUCUUUGGCUCUCCCUUCACCACCGUUUCCUUCUAUUCUCUUGAGCUCAACUCCCACCUACAUGCUAAGAGUCACCACCACGAUGUAGGCUUCUAGGAUCUCCUUCCUACUCCUAGUAGUCGCCACCAGGAUGCGUCAGAAUUCAAGUGCAUGGAUCCCUAACUCCGGCAAAGGAACAUUCAUAUAAAAGUUUGAAUCAUCAUUUUUGUCAAGGGAUGUAAUAUAUUUUUGUAUUGUUAUUAUUUUUGCUAGACACAACCUCAGCCUAAGGUUGACAAAGGGAUAGAAAUAGAAAUACGUUCUCUCAAAAGGACAAUAUAGGGAUCUCACAAUUUCAAUAGAUGUUCCAACACCUUCUGCACGCCAGAAUUCUCCGCAUCCUUUACCCUUGACAUGUUAUCACUUAAAGUUACCCAAAUACCACCUUGGGUUUCUACCUGAACGGAGUAAACAAAUGUCCUAUCAUGUGCCGGGCCUUCUUCCUUCUCUAACCCGAAAAAAAGAAAACAAUGAAGCAACUGUGUAGGGCUGAUCUAGGCAAAAUGCCAAGUUAGAUAAUGCAACGAGUGGCAAGCAUUCAAAUCCCCAAUGUGUCACUAAACUUUGCUGGUCAUCUCAACUUAAAACCAUCAGUUAAAUUAAAAUAAUUCUCAAUCCACCACCCAAACAUAAUGGCAUUACAUGGCAUUACAAUCCAAAGCUAUACUUUUACUUCCACGUUGCACCUAGUGGUUUCUGAUGAAUUGAAUAUCACGAUGAAAGAUUGAUUGAACCAAUAUUCAUACCUUCUCUCCAUGGACAUAAAGAUCAUCAAACCAUGAUAUGCAUCAAAGACAAAAUAUGUUUGGAUAGAAGCAGUACAUGGAUGAUGACCACUGGUGUGACAGCGGCUGCAACUCAGCCCAGAUCUUAGUGAACAUGCAAGAAACCGGCGCGCCAGAUGCACCCUAUGGGCCAUAGGACGAGGCUGCAGACCGACCCUCCUGGUCAGAUCUAGCAGAGGGCGGCAACUAUAUGCGUGGGCAAGCACCUCCCAGCCCAAAGCACCGACGGACCAAGGUCGGAGGCCAUGACCGCAUCGCCCCCACGCGCCGACGAUGGGGGACAAUAGCUCCACUGCAGAGGCCAACAAACGAGGCCAUGGACUGGCCUUCUUGGACAGAUCCAGCGAUGUGCAUCACCUCCAUGCCUCGGCGGGCAUCUCACGUCCCAGCGCAACAACAGGCCGAGGCGGCAGCGAAGAACGUGUCGCCCGUGCGCGCAAUACUACGGGAGUUGCACGCUACCAUGCCCGAGUGGAACCCCACAGUUCUCGGAGCCACGUAGCUGACAACGCCAUGCGCGGAGGUACAGAGAGGAAGAGCAACGGUAGAGGGAGGGAGUAGCGCCCCGCCGCCGUCGUAAGCCGGCCUAUGGCCGGUGACAGCGGUGUGGGGAGGACACGAAGAGAGUAGCGGUGGCGAUGGGAAAACCUAACCCACAACCCACCCAAGAGGGUGAUGCGAGGUCCUCGCAAGGAAGAUGUGUGAGUGGGUGGGGACAGCGUGAAGUAGGCUAGGAGCGCAAAAACAGAUAUGGGAGCGAGAUAGGAGAUGAAUGUUACAGGAAGUAAGAGAGGAGAAAUGUGGGCAUGGGCUACUAGGAUGGAACACAAAAGCGAUGGAGGGAGUGGGACAAUGCCCGGAGUAACAGCGGUCGGCAGGAAAAAGAAUGGGAUAAAGCAAGGAUACAUGCCCAUCAAUUUUCUAAUUUUCUGAUUGGUUAAGAUAGUAGCUGACUGUAAGGUGGCUCAAUGCAUACAUACAAAUAAUCAUGUCAAGUAGCUGCCGAUUUAAUCAAAAUAACUUUGUGAAACACGGCGAUGGCGGAAACUAACAAAGUGCACAUUUUUUAUAAUUCAAGGUAGUGUUUUAGACGGUUUUGGAGUUCUAGGUUGAAAAGACAUGCUCAAACCAUAGUUUAAGGUUGAAAAGUGUACACUUUUUUCAUUUCAGAAAUGUCGCACUAACUAAGAUGCUAAAAUGUACAAAGAAUGCUGAACUGAUUUUAUGAGUUCCCAAGGACGGUAUAUAUAGUACAACCAUGAUUCAGACAAAAUAAAGAAAUCAUUCUGGUUUGAGUACUAAAUCAACAUGAAAGCUUCCCCAACAGCAUUAGCAUAUAGUUUUUUUAGUUUAUGGAGUAUGGCAUUACUCUUUGCAAUCUGAAGCUUGAAUUCCCAGCAAAUCAGGACUUAAGAGAAACAAAACAAGUUUAAUCUAAAUAGUUACUUUUGGUUUCCACUUUUAUACUUUUUAAACAUAUCUUAUUCAGAAAUUUCCUUUUUUUGAUAGAAAAGAUAUGACUGAACAAAUUUUGAAUUAAGAACUAUNNNNNNNNNNNNNNNNNNNNNNNNNNNNNNNNNNNNNNNNNNNNNNNNNNNNNNNNNNNNNNNNNNNNNNNNNNNNNNNNNNNNNNNNNNNNNNNNNNNNNNNNNNNNNNNNNNNNNNNNNNNNNNNNNNNNNNNNNNNNNNNNNNNNNNNNNNNNNNNNNNNNNNNNNNNNNNNNNNNNNNNNNNNNNNNNNNNNNNNNNNNNNNNNNNNNNNNNNNNNNNNNNNNNNNNNNNNNNNNNNNNNNNNNNNNNNNNNNNNNNNNNNNNNNNNNNNNNNNNNNNNNNNNNNNNNNNNNNNNNNNNNNNNNNNNNNNNNNNNNNNNNNNNNNNNNNNNNNNNNNNNNNNNNNNNNNNNNNNNNNNNNNNNNNNNNNNNNNNNNNNNNNNNAUCUGACUGAUGGUUUGGACAAGUAUGUUCCAGACCUAGUGACAGGUCUGGAACAUACUUGUCCAGACCAUCACUCAGAUCAGGUAUCUCUUUCCCACGAGUUCAUGCAGUAGGGUUUGGCAAUCAAACCAAACUAGUGGUUUCCAUACUGCAUCUGAGUGAUGGUUUCGACAAGUCUGUUCCAGACCUACCGAGGUCAAAGUACUAUUUACCUAGUAAGGUUAUUUAACAGAAAUGACCAAAGGUUACUACCCUAAGAUAAACGGGAACAAAGGUGAAACUACAAUAAAGAAACAAAAUAAAAUGUGCAGCGGUGAAACAGUUCUAAAAAUGUGUAGUGUAGGUGUGGGAAAGAGAUGCCUCAUCUGAGGAGCAUUGCAGGAAAAGUUCAACUAGUGAACAGGAUAUAUAACACUAAAAACUGAUAGUCAGGAAUCUUACUUAAAGAUGGGUUUUGGCCAAUGCUUCCUGCUGCACUGCUCAAUAAGCUUCUGCUUGCAUUCCCUAAGCUCUCCAACCUCAACCUCCGAUCCAUGCCCAACUCCAAUUGUCAACACUUGCUGAUUGCCUCCACCAAGAAGCUUGCUUAAUGCAUCCCGUGUGGCAUUGAGCUUAGCGAUUACCAUCUGCUCUGAGGAGCCCAUCCCAACAAGUGCCCCACCAACAAAUACAUUUACAACCGUUGUUCCACCCUUCUGCCAAGUCUUGAAUUUUAUAUCUUUCCCAUGUUUCUGGCACAGUUCAUGCAACGUAAACACGGGUUGCUCAUCAAUUGUUUCUGCCGUGACAAUGGGCUCAAAGAGGAACCUUGUUACCUACAUAAUACAUAGUGAUAUCAUUAUUCACCACCCAUUAUUCUAGUGAACUACUCUCCGUAAACAAAUAUGUCGUUUUAGAGAGCAGAGGUCCAUUUUUUUGAACUUUCACAAAUAUUAUUGGUAAAGCUAUCUUGGAUUGGUCAUACCAAAAUGAAAUCAUACGAUUCUUCAUAGAAAAUUACAUAGAUUUUUAUCAGCGUAUUAUGACUAGAAUUAGUAGUUAAGUUAUUUUCUGGAAACCUCAGAUCAACAUAUUAGUGAAUGGGAAAUAACAUGAAAGAUGGAUUACAAACCUUCCAGAGCUUCUCAAGAUUAAAGUUGCAAUCCACAUAGACAGCAGCAGCAAUGGCCUCGACUAUAUCAGCAAGCACCUUGGGAGCCUUAAAUACAGUGCCACCAUAGGGCGUAGUGCCAAGGUCAUCCCCUAACUCUUGUUUCACUGACUGGAUAAACUGGCCUACCUGCAUAGAAGUAUAGCCAGUAACAUAUCAAUGGUAGCCAAAAACAGUUCAUCUAAUAUCCACAUCUCCAAGAGAUAACAUCAAUCACUUCACAAUUCAAAUGUAUUAUGCCUUAUGAACCCGAAUGGAGCUGCGGGAGUACUUACCAAUUCCAGUUUCAGCAUUGCUAAAUACAGUACUAAACAUAUUCUUGCAUCACUAAAUCAAAACUAAGAUGUGGCGUGAGCUGCUAUAGAUAGAUGUUUAGCUCUAUGUUUUACCCUCAAAUUAAGCCCAUCAAACAGCUCAAAUGUAUUGCUUCUAACUCAGGGGAGGAGGAUCCGAGGACGCUUAAGCGGCACAUACCAAGAGAUCGAGGCGAGGGCAGUUGCGUCGGAGCAGCGGGUAGAGGUCGUGGCGCACGGCGACGCGCGCCAGCUUCUCGGUGGAGAUGUUGGCGGCCCGGAGCGUGGAGAGCGCGCCGGGGCCGACGGUGGGGUUGGUGAGGUAGAGGAAGUUGGAGAAGGCGAGGCCGAGCGCCGCGUCCCCGAUGAACUGGAGCCUCUGGUAGGAGGCAGCCCCGCCGCUGGAGAAGAACUGGUGGGUGAGCGCCUCCUCGAGCAGGGAGCGCUUGUUGAACUCGUACUGGAGAAGCCGCUCCACAAGGGCGGCCGCCUCCUCCCUGUCCGCCACGAAACCCGGGGGCGGCAGCGUGACGGGGGCCGACGGCGCAGGCGACGAGGCGAGGCGCUUGCGGGAGCCGGGCUUCAUCAUCCCUGGUGUGCCUGUGCGCGUGACCGUGUGGCUAGAUCGGGAGGGGGAGAUGAAAUUUUGGAGAGGAGGCGGCGCCAAAAGAAAAAAAACAGAGGAGCUCACCUUGCUAGACGAGAUGAUGGUGGCGUCGGCAGCUGCUACGAACUGGGAGGAGGGCGGGGGGACGGGGAUCCGGCCGGAGUUUGGCGGCGUCCGGCGGAGUAGAGUGCCGGCCGGGCCUGUUGCUGGUGCUGGAGACCGGGGUGGGGGCGGGGACGGGUCACGCCAACGGGAGGAGCAGCGGAGGAGGAGGGACCCUAGCCGCCCGCCAUGUCGCCGGAGGGAGCCGCGCACAAGGGACCGGCGGCGGCCUGGAGGAAACCUAGCGAGGUUUUCGCGUGAGCGAGCGGGAGGAAAGGGGAUCCAGGGCUGCGGGCGGGACUGGGCUCUUCGCCUUGCGGGUAUACCUGCCAGUGGCAUUUUUGUUGUAAUAUGCUCAAACAAUAGUGUCAUUUCCCUAUACCCCUUCGGGUUUAAGUGAGAAGCUGCGGGAAGCACCCAAGUGAGGUGGAAAUAAGUUGAGCUGACUUUUACAAAGGUGAGUGCUAGGCACCUGCGCACCGGCCCAAAUUUGGGCCGAUCGCAUAAUGCCACCCGCCUGAUUCAUGAAACCCUAGCCGUGUGAUUGCGUCUUCUUUCUCGUGCAUUAUCUCUUCUCCCUCCUUUCCACCCACAUCCAGAAAGAAAAAUGUCUCAUGCCCGCCACUGCACCAGUCGAUCCCCCCUCCCCCAUGUCUACCCUUCCGUGAAGGACCGUUCCUCGCUCGGCUCGCCGUCGACGUCCUCGCAACCCCGCCGUCGCAGUUGAAGCUGCAUCUCGUGGGCGUUUUGCGGCGUUGCUCCGUGGUCGCAGCCCCCCCCCUCCUUCGCCGUCGUUUGGUAGCAGCCUCGCCGUCAACAUGUCGUAGCCUCGCCGUCAUAGCCAUUUGCUGGCUCUAGGUUGAAGCUUUUUCCAUGGUCAAUUGAAGAUUUUUUUUCGUAGCUGCUUACAGCCUUUCCAUGGGGGUUGAAGCUUUUUCCGUCAUGCCUGAUGAAGCAUUUUUCUCCAUCGGUUGUAACUUAUACUAGGCCGGUUGAAGCUUUUCUCCAUGUACGGUUGUACCUCACCCUAGAUACUCAACGUAGCAAAACUAUCUGUUAGUUGUAGCAAAGAGGUGUGGCGGUUCCAGCAAAAAAGAAGCUGACCGGUGCCGUCCACCUAAUUAUAGUGUUUUUUUUUCGAGAGUACGCCAAUGGCGUACCAUAUUUUUAUAAAAGGCAGAAAAGAAUUACAAGAAGCUACAACUUGCUGCAAACAACAAGUGUAGAAACAACACCACAUCCAAGCUAAUCCGAAGAAAAGUUGCCGCACACAUUACAACACAGCACAAAGGAGCUUGUCGGACCAGAGCAUCGAAGCCGCGUCUCGACCAACGCCGGUCACUACGAAGAGCAACAACUUCGACCGGACUUCCCUUGUCGACGCACCAACCACCCUUGAUGCCGAAAAGGAGAUGACAGGUGGGUGGCGGGACUCAGUACGUCCCGAGAAAGCCACCGUCUUGGACUCACCGACAUUGGGGUACAUAGCGCCCAAGAUCCUCUACUCGGACUAGCGGCACGCACCGAAGAACCACAUCACCGAACCUCCAGGCCAACUCUCCUCCCACGAUGCUCCUAACGGAGGAACGACGCCAAGACGCCACCAUCGCCGGUCCAGGACCUAGGCUUUUGCCCGGAGACUACAAACCAAACAAGGAGGGGAGAUGCCGACACACACAGCGAUGCCUCCAAGGAGGGGAACGACGCCCACAGACACCGUCAUCGCCAUCACCGAUCGAAGACGGGCAGGAUUUUCAUCCGUCGCCCACCUCCCACCCCUUGCAAAGAAUGAGGCCAACAUGUCUGUAAUGGGCCACAUCGCCGCCGCAGCAGCACCUCGGCAUCGUGACUAAUGUUGCAGAACACCGACGCCUUGCACAGCCAAGGACACGCACUCCAUGAACCACCUCCCGCACGGCCGAUGAAGAUCCAAUCCAGCAAGGCAGCACCCAACACCAACACGGCCAGAGGCCAACGGAACUGCAGCAGCAACUGCACACGCCCACUCCUGGCGGCAGCCACGCCACGACCGCGUCUCUGGGACCCAUGAACAGAGAGCAUCUCCACCGAGCUCCCCGCAGAGGGCCGCAGGCCCGGGCAGUCUGCCCAGAUCCGACCUGCGCCGAGCUCUCCCUCCCACGGUGCCACCACUGGCGCCGGCGGCCGCAGGGGGCAAGCCGCGCGCCCUGUCCACCACAGCAGGUCCCGGCUGCCACUUGCGCAGCCAUCCGCCAGAGAUCUGCCGCCUCCAUGACUCGGGCGCGCCGCCUCCAACACCCACCAGACGCACCAAGGAGGACCGCCGUGCACCAACUCCACCCCACCACGCCGUCGGCCGUGCUCCGCCUCGCCGUGCGCUCCUCGCAGCCCACCACCGCACCGGUAAGAUCUGCCGUGCCGCCUGCUUAACGCCACUCCCCCGCGCGAGGGAGGCCCGUUGGGGCGCGCCGAACUCGCCCGCCGCCUUCGGCGGCCAGGCGCCGCCACCGCCGUCGGCGCCGGCGGCGGUAGCGGCCAGGGGAGCGCAAGGAAGGGGGCGCUCACGGGGCUAGGUUUUGGCCUCCGGAGCCGCCCGCGCGAGCGGCUCGGGAGGGAGGGAGGGGAAAGUUUGGGUUCUAUCGCAUACCUAAUUAUAGUGUUAAUGGCUAAUUUCUAUGCCUCCAGCAAAACCUGAUGCCGGAUGUAGCAAUUUGUGUCACUGGAUGCAGCCCCAGCGACCUGUUCCCCGCACAUAGUCUUAUCAACUUGUAUCUUUUUUGCCGCCGGUUCCAGCACACCAGAUAGCCGGUUCCAGCACGGGCGUACACUGAUCGUAGCACCGCGAUAUCGAGGUCGUAGCAGGGCGCGACGCCGGUCACAACACCGCUCACCAUGGUUGUAGCACACUCCAUGACGGUGACGAGGCCUUGGUUGUAGCAACAUCGAGGGGCUCGCCGACCAAGACAGAGAGGAAAUUGGUGGCGAGCGCGGCCAUGAAAUCGACGACCAAUGACGUGUCCUUGUAGCAGCCUCAUGUGGUUUUAUUGCAGGGGGUAGAAGCAAAAGCUCGCAGGAGGAGGCUCAUGGUGGUGCGCAAGGUAGAAGAAAAGAGAAGAGAAUGCGAUGUUUCUCGAUAUAAGAUUUUUGUGGCCACAAAACGGGUGGUGCAAAAAGAUAAGGAGUCGGCGCGUGGGUCAGGGCACGUGGCUGUGUGGUAUAGGUGCGCGAGCGAGCAGAGCCGGGGUGACCGGCGCAAGCUUCAGCCGGUCGUCCGGCCACCAUUGUUUCACUUUUACAAAACAAGUUCUUUUGCAUUUUUGACUUAUUUUGACAAUAAGCUACUAUAAGCUAGAAAAAGACUUGACCCUAAGAAACGGAAAGGAAUCUGAGAAAAACACGCACGCGGUAGCACUUGGAGGAGCGUCUCCACCAGCAAAAAGAAAACGGGAAUUUAACUGGCGACCGUUCACCAGGAGGCCAGUCCCGGUGAACGCAUUCUCUCCCGUCGAUUGGUGUGCACGAAUUUUGUCGGAGGAUCGGAGCCACAUCAGAUCUUUUUUAAAUUAAUUCGCUAUAAGAUGAAAGACAGCGAACACAUUGCCAUUGGAAACACUACUGCCCCCGCAGUGGCUAGUGACGCGCCCCUGAGACUUCGUAUUGCAUUCUAGUCUCUCCUUUUUUCGUUACAUGGCAAUUUAAAGAGGGCAAAAAAAAAGGCAAAUAUUAUGCACACAACGAAAAAUGACCAUCCUUUUUGAAAUAAAACAACAACAUAGAUAUAAAAUUGAAAUUUCAUAUACAUGCCAUGGGAAAUAAAAGAGUGAAGUGCAUUGUAGGUCCCUAAACUAUUUUAGGAGUAUCAUGUAGGUCCUCAAACUAUGAAAAUCGGCAUUCAGGUUCUUAAAGUGCAGUAAGUGUGUCAUUCAGGAUCAAAAUAUGUCCGACCACGCCUGACCGGCUAGCUGGCGCAGUUGACCCAUGACACGUCGGACAUGGGGCCCUACAAGGUAACGGCUGGUGAUGAAAAUAUGCAAAAAAAAUCAAUAAAUUCCAGGGAAUGAUAAAUGUACUUCACUCCAAAUAGAUUCAAAUUCAUGGUUUAAAAAAAUGUUUGCGAAUAUGGAAAAAAUGUUCACGACUUUAAGAAAUGUUCACGAACGAUAAAUUUGAAAAUGUAUUCGACCACAAAUAUUUGUGGUUCGUGAAGAAGUUGUGAACAUUUUUGAAACCAUGAACAUUUAUAUUAAUGAUUUUUUUUGUAAAUUCAUACACAUAUUUUAGAUUUCAUAAUUAUUUUCUUAACCCUAAACGUUUUUUUAAAAAUUCGUGAAUAUUUUUAGAAUUCACAACUUUCUAAAAAUCGCCAAUGUUUGAAAAAAAAUGAUCAUUUAUGAAUUUGUGCAAAAGCAAAUUCAAAUACAUCGUUCAUGAUUUUUUUUCCAUAUUCGCGAACAAUUUUUGGGGUUCGCGAACAUAUUUUCAAAUUUAUCGUUCACAAACAGUAUUGGUGGUUUGUGAACACAUUUUCUUUUCUUUUAAAAUUUAUCUUUCGCAGAUAUUUGUCUAAAGUCGCGAAUAGUUUUUUCCAUAUUCAUUGUACACGAACUUUUUUUCCAAUUCAUCACUCGUGAACAUUUUUUUAAGCCUUCGUUCUAAUUUUUAUUACUGAACUCAAUUGAAUUUGGAACAUUUAACUGAAGACCCUCACUUUUAUGUGUUUCUCAUAGUAAUUUGCAAAUUGAGAUAUUCGUAAGUUCAAAUAUAUAGUCAGAAAAAAGCAUGUAAACAUAGCGAGAUGAGUCCUCGAAAACACAGGUCAUGCAAAUGUGGUGCCUUUGUGUCAAAUGAAUAUCGUACAUUACCUAGUGGUAUAAUAAACUUUUAACUUAGGUCAUCAAAGCUAAAAAAAAGGAAAGAAAAGAAACAGGGGAUCUUGGCAGCCACACUCAACAAUCUAUUAUGCCUAUAACUGAAUGUUAAAAACAGUGCUCUUCCUGUAACUGAUCUUACGAGGCUAAUUCAAAUCACACAGCUUGUGAGCACAAGUCACUCUUUCUAUUCAGAGCAGCGAUGGGGCUCUUAUCUGUGAUCACACCAGUUGUGCAGAAUCAUUCAGAAAAACAGCACGACAGAAAUUUAUAAACGCAGACGAGAUAGGCAGUACUUAACUAGCAUGAAUAUUUCAAGGUGAGCGAAACAAUCCAAAGAUAAACUGGGUCUGUAUUUGUGUUGUCUCACAUCAACCAUAAAAUAAUUUUCGGGCUCUAUAGUAUUUUGUAUCACACACAUAUUUCUCUUAUCUGAUUCUCUCUUGAACAACAGUUUACAAACAGACAACAGGUAACAGUUUACAAACAAGACAACAGAUAACAGUUAUGUUCGGGAGCUUCCCCACAAGCACAAGAAAAACAGCCACUACCAUGUGAACAACAAUGGCAAAAUGACCAAGCGUAGCACCAUAGAUUCUGCAAGUAAUCCACGCUACUGAAAACAUACUCACUUUGACCUUUGAGGACCAUCGGAUCUGAACAAAAUCGACAAAAAAGGAAGGUCAGACAGUGGUGGGUUUUAAGCUCAAAUUGUACAUAUUGAAGAGCUUAUAAGAAAAAUGGGAAAAAACAUUGGUCUUAUAUUGCGUAAGAAAAACAAUAGUAGUAUCCAAAGGCAGAAGCCAGAAUAGCAUUUUGUCCAACUGGUAAUACACACAGAAUUUGGAAUAUGCAACUGGCCAACUGCAAACACUUUCUUUUAUGUGUUUAUCAUUAUAAUUAGUUGCAGUACUUGCAAGUCGGUAUAUAAAGCUAGACAGAGGCAUAAUAAACAAACUAUGUGUUGAAAAAUUGAUAGCUUUUUUUUAUAUAGUACUACAAACUUAUAAAGGCGUAACCAACAAACUAUGUGUGUCAUCUCUCAUCUGUUAUCCAACUGCCAGCACUGUAAAGACGUAGACAUGUUUUAAUUGUACACCUUAGCCAUUCAUUCCAUAUUGUAUGGCUGCGAUCACAACGUUUUCCUAUGUGUUUCCACUUUCCAUUACUAGCAGGAAAUACCAGGUAUAAGCGACGACUCCUUGAAAAGUUCCUUACUAGUUUUGGUGGAUGAAUGGAUUUUUAGAAAAAGGAACAAAUACACCUGACUACCUGAGCAACACCUCAGUAUUUUCCCAAUCCUUGUUCCUAUUGUCCUGCCUUAUCCCUCCCAUUCACUCUAUCUGCAUCGGCAUUCUAUUCUCGUCGCGGCUGGCCAUAAUUUGCUCCCUAAGCUACGCGUAUUGCUUCCAGUGUAUCUGGUAUCUGGUGCAGCAACAUGAAGGAGCACCAUACAUCAGGGAGAGCGUGAGAAGCAAGAAGCUUCGGUGUCACCCGGUGAGCAUGGAAAGCGAGAAGCUUUGGCGGUGGAGAGCAAGCACAGGAAGGAGCAGACAGAGAUUGAUCAGGAGCAAACGGGUGCAAGCGUGGCAGCAAGCAUGAAAAUAAUUUUUGGCUACAUGGAAUUAAGGAUGAGCAGCAUGCAGUUGGAAUAACCCUACUUUGUGAACCAAUAUUACUUAUUUUUAGCAAUGAAAUAUCCGUGUAUUGGGCCGGGCCUUCUAGGCCUGGAAACACACAGUAAGGCAUUUGAGAUCAGAACCAUCCAAAUGAAAUGAAAGGCUUGGAUGUUAUAGCGGCACGACUAUGCCUUUUCAAUUGUCUCCUCCAAAGGUGAGCUGGAUCUAUACAUGUAUUCAUGUUGAAAUGCCCUAACUAUAAAAACAAGUCCUCGCAAAUAAUUGCUGUGAUCUAAAAUUGAUGAGGCCUAAAAUAACAGGCACUACAUAAGCUAUGUCACAGUUAUUUUGCUAUGUCUCGUUAUCUCAAAAAGGUCAUUAGAACAAACAAGAAAAUGGAUCACAAUUACAUUCCCAAGCUUUGGUUAGCUCUCCAACAAGGAAGAAAAUAAUCACUACCAAAUUGUGUAAACAAGAAUGACCAAAAUACAACCUGCAUAGUGUGAAUCAACUGAACUAGCACACUAGUAGAAAACCACCCAUUAGUCCCGGUUCGUAAGGGCCUUUAGUCCCGGUUCAUGAACCGGGACUAAUGGGUCGUUACUAAUGCCACCACCCAUUAGUCCCGGUUCAAACACGAACCGGGACCAAUGUGGCUCCACGUGGCCCUGUGCACCGAGCCCAGUCAGAGGGCCUUUGGUCCCGGUUGGUGGCUCCAAUCGGGACCAAAAGUCAAUUUUUUUUUUUACAAAAGUGGCUGCUUUAGGGGUUUUGAGGGUUAUUUUUAGGUUGUUAUUAUAUCUAGCUAAUAGAAAUAAGUGUCCUCUCUUAUCUUCGUCUUUGGUUUAUCAACGCUGCUGCUAUGUUCAAUGCACCCGCAGAUAUGACAUGCUCAUGCAUGCUUUGCAUCAUACAUCAUCAUAUAUAUGUAUAUAAUAAUAAGUCCUACUAAUCAUGCAUCAUCAUACAACUUCUACUCGUUAUUAAUAAUAAGUCAUACGAUCAUCAUCCUCAUAUAUUGUCAUCAAACCCAACCCUACAUAAUUGUUCUUAGCACAUGAUCAUCAGUAUCAGGUAGGACCUAAACACCCUUAAGGUAAAAUAGCAUAAAACAAUAUAGACCCUGACUCUCCAUUAUGAAGAAUGGCGAUCAUCCUGUCUCCAAUUCUUGCCUUUCGCUGCUUAUUGCUUCCAAGAAGCUCCUUACGACUGUCCAUACAUUUUUUCCAUUCUUUGAUUGUUAUGUCUCCACUUCUUUUAGAAACCCGAUAUGGACAGUUGAGAUUCGUAGGACGACCUGGUCGUAUGUUCAAAACAUGAAGGCUACCACGCGUAUACAUCAGAUGAGGCACACAAUCAUUCGGGAUUAUCUGUUGAAAAACAUAAUAAUAACUUUGUAGUUAGCAAUGAUGUACUAGUUUUAGAAGUGUGCAAAAAGAUGCACGGAUGUUGUAAUAGUAAAAAAUAAUCUUACCAGGGUAUCUCCAUGGUAGUUACCGUAGUUCAACACGUGCACUAGUGGCACGUAUUGACCAUAAUGUUGAGGAGUUUGAUUGUAGAUAUUGUAAUUCUCAAAAUCAGUACAAAAUCCGACCAGAUGAUUUUUCUCCUGAUAAGUUAAUUCGGAGCCUUCGGUGUAGUACGUUCUGUCUACUAUCUUCCGCACAUUCUUUGAAGAAUGAAAAUAAGCUGUCAAUGGAGAUAAGUUGUCAACUAUAUAUUUUGAAAUAAACAAUAUAAAUUACUUAAUAACUAUGUUUAGCUCACAUGAGGGAAGAACUGGAGGUGUAUCCACAAAGACCCAAAUCGAAGGUGUCUCUUGCUCGAUUGUAGGAUCACCAAGAUCCAUGGUGACAAGCAUACCCUCAUCAAGACCAUACAUCUUGCAAAAUGCAUCCCAAUUUUUGCAACCAAAAUGGGUUACACUCUGAGCAUUGUACAGCUUUACUUGAAAAUCCACACCAUGUUCGGUACUUAGGAUAAUUUUUUUGGUUUCGAAAUUUUCAUGGUCUUCAAAAUCCAUCCUCUCCAAGACAUAGCGUCUUGCAAAGCAUGGGAUAAGCUAGUCGAAUUGGAAAAGAUGAAAAAUACACGUUAAAAUAGUUGAAGUCGUGCUUAAUUACGAAAAAAACUAUUGUCGUCGUUGCGUACCGUAUGAACAUCGCAAGUCUCCUCGAGUUUAAUGCUGAAGCGCCGAUCUUCGUCCAGCUCAAUGAAUCUGUCGCACAUACCUCGGUCGUCGUGGCACCAGUCGCACUCCCCCGGGCGAUUUUUCGUCGUCCGAUGAAUACGACAUUUCCGGCCUACGUUCAUAAUUCAAAUAUUAAACUAGAUCAUUAUUAUUAAUCACGGGUUGACUAUCGAUGAUCGAUGUACGUACGUAGCUCCUCUUUCAUUCCCGAAUGCAUUAUUAUACCAAAUUGUCUAGCACACGGGAAUGAAGGAGAACUUAUCCAAUAUGAGCAUUCAAUAAGCAAAACCAAAUCACAAAAUAAAGUAUAGUAUUCAAAUUAGCAUGCAUUCAAUAAUUAUAAGCAAAAGUACAUCAUCUCUUGGUGUCCGUACAUCAUCGAAUAUUAUCACUAAUACAACUAGAACCGUAGCGCCCGGCGGGUAUCGACGCGGGCGGUGGACACCCAAAGAUAAGGAACCAUCACAGGAUCAUAGCUCCAGUGAGAUCCCUGAAGAACCUGCCAGGUAUUGUCGAACCUCCCCUCCAAUGCAACCAUGUAGCGACGGACGUGCUCGUCCUCCUAGCUGACACGGUGACGUACCACCUCCGCGGUGUCCGAAUGCCUCACCACCGUCACUGGCCCACGCGACCGCCACCAAACAAGGAUCGGGUCAACAACGGACUGCCUCCUCACCAACCUACGUCCCCCGGAAGGUAGCACCUCCCAAUACCAACCCGACGGAGCCCAGUCCCGAACAUGGCCCUGAUCAAGCAGGCCUCCACCGCCGAGUCGACGACGACGAGGAUGCGGGAUAGGCAUCGCCGAUGUCGACGUGGGAACUACUUCUAUAUAUAGUUAAAUAAAAGUAGUCUUAUUAAUUAAAUCAACUAUCUAGUUCAACUACUAAACACUUACUAUAAAUAAAUAAGUAGUACUUACUAAAAACAAACUACUUCAUUAUAUAGUAAAAUAAAUUAGUUUAUUAAANNNNNNNNNNNNNNNNNNNNNNNNNNNNNNNNNNNNNNNNNNNNNNNNNNNNNNNNNNNNNNNNNNNNNNNNNNNNNNNNNNNNNNNNNNNNNNNNNNNNNNNNNNNNNNNNNNNNNNNNNNNNNNNNNNNNNNNNNNNNNNNNNNNNNNNNNNNNNNNNNNNNNNNNNNNNNNNNNNNNNNNNNNNNNNNNNNNNNNNNNNNNNNNNNNNNNNNNNNNNNNNNNNNNNNNNNNNNNNNNNNNNNNNNNNNNNNNNNNNNNNNNNNNNNNNNNNNNNNNNNNNNNNNNNNNNNNNNNNNNNNNNNNNNNNNNNNNNNNNNNNNNNNNNNNNNNNNNNNNNNNNNNNNNNNNNNNNNNNNNNNNNNNNNNNNNNNNNNNNNNNNNNNNNNNNNNNNNNNNNNNNNNNNNNNNNNNNNNNNNNNNNNNNNGGGGCGGGGCGGCGACGGCGAGGUAGCGGCAGGGGACGCGGCGACGGCGGAGGAGGAGAGGCCGGAGAGAUCGAAGACGGGAGAGGAGGACGGCGCGCUAAGUGUUGUAUAUAUAGCAACGGCAUUGGUCCCGGUUCGUGGCACAAACCGGGACCAAUGCCUCCUUUAGUCCCGGUUGGUGCCGCCAACCGGGACCAAAGGCCUCUUUUCAGCAGCCCAAAGGGCGGGAAACGAAGACUUUUGGUCCCGGUUUGGGGCUCCAACCGGGACCAAAGAACAGCAUUGGACCCGGUUGGUGCGCCCAACCGGGACCAACGAACAGCAUUGGUCCCGGUUGGAGGCAUGAACCGGUACCAAUGGACCCGUGUAAUUACUUUUUUAUUUUCUGCAGCUAUUUUUUUGUUGAUUCUUCCUGCAGCUGUUGUUUUAGUCCCACCUCGCCAAGCGAGAGGCACUCGCAGCUGUUUAUAAGCCCUGAGUGCAGAUACAAUGACGAAAAGGCUCAAUGCUCCUGCACGUUGGUUAGCUUCAAGCCUUGCGGAAUACGGUAGACUGCACAGAGCUAUGUGCAGUGCAGUUGACACUAUUCCAAAAGGCUUGAAGCAAAUUAACGAGCAUUGCGCCUCUUUUUUAUUUUUAAUGACUUAUUACAACUCAGAAAAAAAGAAAAAAAAAGUAGCAGAAAAGAAAAAAAUAUAUAAAAAACCACUCAGAAAUAAAUAGAAGAAAAAAUAUAACAGAAAAGAAAAAAUAUAUAGAAAACUACUAAGAAAUGAAUAGAAGCAAAAAAUAGUUGUGAUUAACUGUACUAAAAAAGGAGCAUAUAUGCUUAUUUUUAAUGGCUUAUUACAACUCAGAAAUAAAAAGAAAAAAAUAAUAUAGCAGANNNNNNNNNNNNNNNNNNNNNNNNNNNNNNNNNNNNNNNNNNNNNNNNNNNNNNNNNNNNNNNNNNNNNNNNNNNNNNNNNNNNNNNNNNNNNNNNNNNNNNNNNNNNNNNNNNNNNNNNNNNNNNNNNNNNNNNNNNNNNNNNNNNNNNNNNNNNNNNNNNNNNNNNNNNNNNNNNNNNNNNNNNNNNNNNNNNNNNNNNNNNNNNNNNNNNNNNNNNNNNNNNNNNNNNNNNNNNNNNNNNNNNNNNNNNNNNNNNNNNNNNNNNNNNNNNNNNNNNNNNGUAGCAUAUAUGCUUAUUUUUAAUGGCUUAUUACAACUCAGAAAUAAAAAGAAAAAAUAACAUAGCAGAAAAAGAAAAAAAAACUAUAUAAAAAACUACUCAGAAAUGAAUAGAAGCAAAAAAUAGUUGUGAUUAACUAUACUAAAAAAGGAGCAUAUAUGCUUAUUUUUAAUGGCUUAUUACAACUCAGAAAUAAAAAGAGAAAAAUAAAUAUAGCAGAAAAAGAAAAAAAACUACUCAGAAAUGAGUACAAAUGCGCUUAUAGAGGAAAUUCAACUUAAAUUCAUAACGAAUUUCAAGAGAAAUCCGUAUGAAUUUAUGCUAAAUUACCUAUAUAAGCGCAUCUAUUUUCAUUUUCGGAGGAGCUCAAUAAGGUAGAGAGGGAGGGGCUUAUAAACCGGUCUCGUUCCCCUUCGGUUGGCGAGGUGGGACUAAACUCUGGUCGCAACGGGUACCAACCAUUUAGUCCCGGUUGAAGGUUCGAACCGGGACUAAUGGAAGCCCAUUGGUCCCGGUUCAAGCCACCAACCGGGACCAAUGGUUUUGGGGCAGGAGCGAGGCCCAUUGGUCUCGGUUCGUCCUACCAACCGGGACCAAUAGUUUCAGACGAACCGGGACCAAUGGGCCACGUGGCCCGGCCGGCUCCCGGGGCUCACGAAUCGGGUCCGAUGCCCCCAUUGGUCCCGGUUCUGGAUUGAACCGGGACUAAUGGGCUGGAGCGGCCUGGACCAUUGGCCCCUUUUCUACUAGUGGCAGGUGCUUUCCUGAUUAGUAAACAAAAUGUAACUUAUUACCACACAAUGUGAAACGAAAGAAAUUAUGAGGAAAUAACCAAAAUAAAACUUGCAUCUCCUGUGGGAAAUAUUUGAUUGUACUUAAAGAAACAAGUGUCCUGCCCAACCAUAAGCUUGUCUGUUGGCUGGAUACUAGUUGUGGAUGAGAUAUUGGUUACACAAAUUAUCAUUUUUUUUAAAAUGUUGUAUUUAGUCAGCUGUGGAUGAAUUUGUAAAAAAUAAUUCGGUAGGAAAAUAUAGCUGUACUGGUAAUGUUGGGUAGGCAGGGCACUUGUUCUAUUUAACUGAAGAUAAAUUCCCGCAUUGACUAACUCAAUAGUCUAAACAGGAGUUCCUUGACUUAAACAAUUUCUUGUACACUUUCACAUUGGACUUUACAUGUUAGUUCAUAUAUAUAAGAAAUUUGACAUGAGCAUAAGCAAGAGGGCUGCACACUAAACCACUGAAUGAGAUGCCCCACAAAAAUGAAUUCCAUGUGACUUCAUUGCUUGAUUUUUUUUUUGUAAAAUGGAUUAUUUUCUUCUGCAUUUCAUAUAUGUAGAAGCAUUUAGAGUUUCAAAGCUAACUGUCUGAUAAUUCUCAGAGAGUAUGGAUGACUUUUAAAGCUGCUGUUAUUAUAUGUAGAAUUGAAUAAUUCAAGUUCCGGUUUAAUCUAUUUGUUGGCUUAAACAAUUUCUUGUAGGCUUUCACAAUGGGCUGGAUAUGUUAGUUCAUAAAGAUAAGAAGUUUGAAUGACCAUAAGCUAGCAAUGAGGCUGCACAGCAGAACAAAAAUGGACUCUGAGUAACUUUUUUUAUUUGUGCCUUUCAGAUAAACUGAAUUAUUUCUUCUUUGUUUCGUAGACGUGGCUUAGGCUGAUAUAAGAAUGUUUUAUCUCAUUGAUUGAAAUUUCACAAAUUGCAGCAUGCAUUAAUUCAUGAUUAAGACUUCGUGACAUCAUUGCAAGUACCAAAUAUGGAAAGCUAACAGAGGCUCUUGAUGAGUGACUGCCAAGACUUUGGGCGCAAAGGAAGACAUCGCUAGUAUCUUACCAAUUAUUAGUGCCGGCUGUUCGCCAGUUUGUUAUCCGGUGGAAGUGAAAAUGCUUGUGUUUGUCGGGGGACGCAAGAAUGGCUUGUUGUGUUCUCUACUGUCAGAGAAUGAACAUAUUUAUAGUAUUUGAAGAGAUGUCUUUUAUGAGUAGUCGUUCCUCUUGCCAAAAAACACAUGCUUAUUACUGAUAGGAUUCAGAACUGCCAUUUGUGAGCAUAACUUUUACGGAUUAUCAACUGCCAGCGAUUUGUUUCGGAGUGCCGCUUAAGCCCAUGUAUAAGUAAAUCGCCUUGGUUCACAUGUUAUGGGCCUAAUCAAAUUUUAUAUAGCCUCUGUUUACAUGUUUAUGGGCUCUUGUAUAAAAAGUUCCGUUGCGUAACUUAUUAAUGAUGAUGAUGUGGUUUAACAUGGAUUCAAAAUUAAGAGGCAGUUUUGGAAUAAAGUGGUAUUACAGGGGGGCUAGUAUAUAUAUACUAUUAAUCUAUUAUUACAGGCAGAAGCAUGAUACCAUUUGUCCCAUUGGUAAUAUUGAUCUCAACUGAAUUGUAUUGCAGCCUUGCAGGAAUCGCUAUAUUAUACCUAGUAUGCUAAGAAACUUCUAACUUAGGUCAGUUAAAAAAAACUUAUGUCCGAAGUUCAAAAAUCAAGGUGUCUUGGCAGCCACAAUCAACAAACUAUGUGUAUGUGUGCCCUCUACCAUGCUACAGAGUUUGAUGCUUAUAUUUUGCAGUCAUUGGGAGACUCAGAAAGCGGCAAGUAAUGUGUUCCAGCUAUCUUACAAGGAAAUAAGAGGAAGAAAAACUGGGCACACCCCACUUAUAACCGAUCUUAUGGGGCUGAUUCGAACCAAACAGUUUGUGAGAACAAGUUGUUCUUGCUACAUCAAAUUUCUUCCUCCUGAUAUAUUUGAAAGAUAAAAAGCCGACAAGAUGAGCAGUGCUUGAAUUGAAUGAAGAUUUUAGUGUGCUGGGUGAAAUACUCGAAGGGUAAACUGGAUCAAUUCUAGUAUUUCUUCUAAACAUUGAGUCCUUGAAAAGUGUCGUUCCUCGAAAGUAAUUGUUGUGACCUAGCAUUUUCAUGAUUUCAGGAGGCCUAAAAUAACAAUUUGUUUAAUGUCUAAAAUAGCAUUGGAUGCAUAAGCUAUGUGAAAGAUUCAUUUUUCUCCUCAGAUUCUCUCCAGAAGGCGAUUGGAACAAACAAAACAACAACCACAACUAUGAUCUUGUGCUUGAUAAGAUUCCCACAAGCAUAAAAAGAACGGCUAGUUGCAAUAAUGAAACAUUAAGCAUUAGACAAAGUUGUGUGCUAACUAUGAAGGGAAAGACAUAUAUAUAUAGCUAGGAUGCAAUAGAAAGUUUACCACUUCAUAUUGUCGGUGCAGACAAGGAUGGUGGGAAGUUGGUAUAUAUGUGUGUCCCGUUCCUGGCGAACUGGAAAGGUUUUGCAAGAACCCUUUCAAGAUGCAUCUGCUUGACAUCUAUUGAAAAAUAUUCCUCCUCUGGCACCCCCCAAAACUCUCCAAUCUUUGCUAGCAGCAAGUACCUCUCCGUUGCAGCUUUGAUAAGAUGCUGGUUCCGAGGAAGUGGGAUUGUCUUCUCCAAUUGCCACUGGCUAGAGCUAUCACUUUCGUUUCCCCUAAUGUAAUAACACAGAUCACCUCCGAUUUCGGGGAUAGCAAACAUACCCAGUCUGCCUUCUCCCGCCUCCACAAUGGCUACAACUUCCUCGUUCCAUUCUCCGGGUGGAAGGUCAACAAUGGAGAACUCCAUACUCCCGGUGUCAAGCAUGAGCAAAUCUUUCUUGAUGGUGUUGAGCUCCCAGUAGAAACAGCCAUAAGCAUAAUGGCGCCUAGAAAAGGUAUAGUCGACGAGUGAGAUCAUGGUGAACUCACCCGCAGUUUGCCAUCGUCCACUGCUUGAAGAGAAGACGAAGGCGGCCACCCUACUUAGGCAAUGUACCAUCCAGAUCACUCCGAAUGCCAUCGCCGCGUCCCCCUCCUCCUCCUCCUCCUCCUCCUCCUCCUCCUCCUCCUCCUCGUCGAGGGGAAGGAGGAAAGGAUGGCACCAGGGAUUGUACACCACGUCCGGGUCCGCCACCAGAGCGGCAAGCUCUUGAGGCACUGCGGGAAGCAGGAUGUAUCGCUGGUGCAACGGGUCACACACCGCGAGCUCUGUGAAUUUUAGACGACGAUCAUCGUUGGGGGAGUGGCGGAGGAGGACGCGGCCGUCGCGGAUGUCCUGAACGGCCCAACGGCAGGCCCGACGGCGGUGGGGGGAGGCGAGGAACCGCGGGGCCCGGCGGAGGCGGAGGCGGCCGUGCCGGAUGUCCUGAACGGACCAACAACCGGCCGAGCGGCCGGUCCGGCGACGAUGGGGUGAUGGGACGAAAGAGAAGGUGAAGUCAGCUUUUAGGGUGAGCCUGUAGGCGGCGGGCGCGGAGGGAUGGGGCGAGAGGGCUUCGUGGAACCGGCCGUGGGCGAAGAAGCCGAGGAAUGGCGGGGCGUGGAGGCGGCGGAAGCGGCGGAGGAAGGAUCUGUCGGCGACGAGGCGGCGGAAGGUAGCGCAGGUGGCGGAGGCGCGGGCGAGGUCUUCCGGUGCUGGCAGGCGGAGGAAGAUCUCGGCCUGGAGGAGGUGCUCGGGGAUAUCCAUCAGCUGCGUCGCCAUUUCUUGGCCGGCGAGCGAGGUGGGCGAGGGAGGGUGGUGAGGACUGAGGAGUAGGGAGUCAACGGCCGGUGAGGCGCGGAAGAUCCGGUGGUAAGAGAUCGGAGGAGCCGCCGCCGGGAACCCUCGACGGCGACGCGUUGGCAAGGGGAUGAGACUGAGAUCGAGUCGGCUGUGUUUGGAAUUUGGAUGCUUUGCCGCUGGAGUGAAGACACAAUUUGUCCGUCAGUUUCUUUUGGGGACAGCGAUUUCCUCGUGAGCUGUCGAAAUGGGCCUUGCCCACUUAGUCCAGGCCGGCCAUCUGCGUGGCCUCUUUGCAGGCCCGGCAUCUCACUUUCUUUUUGUGCUGUGUCUCAAAAAACGAAAAGUCUUCUUUUGUGUAGGGAAAGCUGUUGAAACCCUAAAAAAAAUUCCAACCUUGGGAAUAAAAUCUCAGCUUAAUUUACUGAAUAUGGGGACACAAAUCACAGUUAAUUUACUGCAUAAACUAAUGGAAGUUCCAUCGCAACUGGCUAUGGAUCACAAGUGAGAGUUCAAUGUGAUGAUGGAAGCGACAAUCAUGCCUUUCUAUGAUGUCUUCCAGCUUUGCCACCAAACAUUGCAGUACUUGAGGAGUUAAACAUAUCACUCCGCUCGGGGCGACAUGGGAGCCGACACAACCCUAGCCACGGAGCUCCCUUCCCCCGCCCUUCCUCCUCGUCACUCCCAGAGGGGCCGCCAGCGAAGACCGAGCGACCGCUAAGGAUGGCGGCGACGAGGUCUGGCUACUUCAUCUUCGUGUCGAGGGCUACAGAUUCUGAGGCGACGGCCUCGGGUAGUGCAGGGACGUCGGUUCUAUGGCGAGCGGCACUCACGGGUGCUCCUAUUCCUUGGUCAUGUCGGCGGCGAGUGGCAGCGCUCAUUGAUCAUGAUAGGUGCCCUGGUAUCCUUGGGUGCGCCAAAUCGGAAGGUCGCCUUCUGCACUCCCAACGCCCAACUCCUCGCCGGAUCUGGUCCUCGAUGGCCAUCGAUCGCAGGAUGCACUGAUGGUAGGGAUGCUGGAGGUGCGGACUCUAACCAAGAGAAAUCUUUGGCUAGCUAUCUAGUCAUGACGGUGACGACACCUGCGGUGUCAUCCCCCUUCUAUGAAGAGCCGUAGAGGUUUGACCCCGUUCCCUCCCACGUGCAUACUCGGUGAAAACCCUAGUUUGAUACGUACUAGGUGGCCCCGGCGUGGCAUGCGUCAUCAUUUCCUUGAAGGUGACGUCGUGUGUGAGUUGGGGUGUGUGUUGGCUUUGUGGUGUGAUUGUCUGGCGUACAACAGAAUCGCAAUUGACGGUGGCGCCGAGGUGCUCUAUGUCGCUAGAUCAGUAGUCUUUCAUGGCUCCUUGUGGUUGUUAGAAGCCCGGUCUGUGUGUGUUUGCUUCUUGGUUGGUCGGCGCCAUCGCCUUGGACGGUAAGGGGGUAUGGUUCCGCUGGCUCGUUAGCAACAAGGUGUGGGAGCUUGGACAUGGUGCCAAUAACUACGGGCUCUGAUAUUCUCUCAGCACUGGUUGUUUCAACUCCUCUGAUGUAUGUUUCUUCAGCGAGCUCACCCAAUAGCAGCUUUGUUUCUUAGUCGGUAGAUGAAUGAGCUUUGUCGUGGCAUUGGUCGAUGAUCUUUACACAGUGGGUUUAUCAGGCUGAGAAUUUCUCAUGGGGCUCCAAAAUCAUUAUCGAUCUUUGAUCUAGAGUGAGCUUCUCCAGCUUUCGAUGGUCUGACAUCGUUCAACCCAAAGCAAGGGGCAAGGGUCCCCUUUAGAAUUGGAGAAGGUAGGUAGUAUGGUGACGAUGUUCACCUUUAGGGGUAGAUAAGGGCGCGUCCAUCAUCGUUGGGUGGUCUCUCCACCUAAAGUGUGCUCGCGUCAAUGCGCUAGAAGCACGUCAAUGGGCUCCAUCAACAUCAAGCUAGCUUCUCAGUUGUUUAUAUCAUGUGUGCUUGUUGUUUUCGUGUAUGCAUGAUGUUUUGGCAUCAUCUUGUAUCUGCUGUUUUCGUUAUCAUUGUUUUCUCUUUUUUUUGUUAUGAAACAAUAUGACGUAGUAAUUCCUAGCUGGUUGAUGGCUUUGUUAAUUCAAAGUCAGGCUCAUCUUGAAGCCUUGUUCUAAAAAAAUGUAGUAUUAAGAGGCAAUCUUAGCUCUAAGCCAGGCCCCAUAUCCGGGUAAAAAAAUCAGCAUGAUUUCUCUAUCAUUGUCAUGAGCUGUCUAAAACAGAGAAGAAGAAAACUGGGUGCCCUGCCUAUAACUGAAAUUAUGAGGCUGGUUUAAAUCACACACCUUGUCAGCACAAAUCACUCUUUCCAUUCAGAGCAGUGAGAGAUUCAUUUCAAAACAGCGACACAACUUGAAUUUAUAGAUGCAGGCAAGAUAAACUGUACUUCACUAGAACCAUAAAAGAUUGCUGGGUUUACAGUGUUUUGUACCACACCCAUUAUUUCUCUUGUCUGAUUCUCUCUUGAACAACAGUUUCAACAAAACAACAUAACAGGUAACCAGUUAUAUUCCGGAGCUUCAUAAGUUUCCCACAAGCACAAGAAAAACCAACCACUACUAAGCCAUGUGAACAAGAAUGGCAGAUGACUAGUACUCCCUCUGUAAACUAAUAUAAGAGCAUUUAGAUUAUUACUUUAGUGAUCUAAAUGCUCUUAUAUUAGUUUACGAAGGGAGUACUACCAAGUGUAGCACCGCACAGAUUCUCAUCUUGUAGGCAACGUGACCACCUGGCUUCUGGGAGAAAUCCACGCUACUGAAAUACUUCACUUUGAGCUCCGAGAACAUGAAUGUUGAUCUGACUAUAUUGGCUACAUUAGAUCUGAACAAAACCGACCACAAACGUCAUGUGCUCAUCAUUAAUUCUGCAAUACUUGUAAACUGGAAUAUAUAUUCUUACAAAAAUGGAACAUAUAGCUAGACAAAGGCAUGUAUAUACAUAAAAAAAUGAGCCCUGGACAUCCCAAGCAAUGCAAAAUUUAUCAUAUUAAUUACUAAAACAAGAGGCAAAGAAGCCACUACAAUCAUCCACAAAAGCUAAACUAUUCAGAUUUAAAAUAAAAUAUAAAGAACAUCAGUUAGCUGCAAUCCGGGUUGUGCAUAUGAUGGCUUCACCCAUGAUGUCAGCAACAACAACAACAACAACAACAACAACAACAACAACAACAACAACAACAACAACAACAACAACAACAACAACAACAACAACAACAACAACAACAACAACAACAACAACAACAACAACAAAGCCUUUAGUCCCAAACAAGUUGUGGUAGGCUAGAGGUGAAAUCCAUAAGAUCUCGCAACCAACUCAUGGCUCUGGCACAUGGAUAGCAAGCUUCCACGCACCCCCGUCCAUAGCUAGCUCUUUGGUGAUACUCCGAUCCUUCAGGUCUCUCUUAACGGACUCCUCCCAUGUCAAAUUCGGUCUACCCCGCCCUCUCUUGUCAUUCUCUGCACUCUUUAGCCGUCUGCUAUGCAGUGGAGCUUCUGGAGGCCUGCGCUGAAUAUGCACAAACCAUCUCAGACGAUGUUGGACAAGCUUCUCAUCAAUUGGUGCUACCCCAACUCUAUCUCGUAUAUCAUCAUUCCGGACUCGAUCCUUCCUCGUGUGGCCACACAUCCAUCUCAACAUACGCAUCUCCGCCACACCUAACUGUUGAACAUGUCGCCUUUUAGUCGGCCAACACUCAGCGCCAUACAACAUUGUGGGUCGAAUCACCGUCCUGUAGAACUUGCCUUUUAGCUUUUGUGGCACUCUCUUGUCACAGAGAAUGCCAGAAGCUUGGCGCCAAUUCAUCCAUCCGGCUUUGAUUCGAUGGUUCGCAUCUUCAUCAAUACCCCCGUCCUCCUGCAGCAUUGACCCCAAAUACCGAAAGGUGUCCUUUUGAGGUACCACCAGGCCAUCAAGGCUAACCUCCUCCUCACACCUAGUAGUACUGAAACCACACAUCAUGUACUCGGUUUUAGUUCUACUAAGCUUAAACCCUUUCGAUUCCAAGGUUUGUCGCCAUAACUCUAACUUCCAAUUUACCCCCCUCCGACUAUCGUCAACUAGCACCACAUCAUCCGCAAAGAGCAUACGCCAUGGGAUAUCUCCUUGUAUAUUGUGACCUCAUCUAUCACCAAUGCAAAAAGAUAAGGGCUCAAAGCUGACCCCUGAUGCAGUCCUAUCUUGAUCGGGAAGUCAUCAGUGUCGACAUCACUUGUUCGAACACUUGUCACAAUCUUAUCGUACAUGUCCUUGAUGAGGGUAAUGUACUUUGCUGGGACUUUGUGUUUCUCCAAGGCCCACCACAUGACAUUCCGCGGUAUCUUAUCAUAGGCCUUCUCCAAGUCAAUGAACACCAUAUGCAAGUCCUUCUUUUGCCCCCUAUAUCUCUCUAUAAGUUGUUGUACCAAGAAAAUGGCUUCCAUGGUCGACCUCCCAGGCAUGAAACCAAACUGAUUUUUGGUCACGCUUGUCAUUCUUCUUAAGCGGUGCUCAAUGACUCUCUCCCAUAGCUUAAUUGUAUGGCUUAUCAGCAAAGCAAAAUAUUCAUGUUUUAAUUGUUUGCUUCAUGGUUUCUCAUCUAGAGUUGGACAAAGCCAUAUACCCGUUUCGAUUGGCUCAAUAAGCCUGACGUGAUGGUGAACUUCAAUAAAACGAAAGACAAAGGAGGCAUCAUGUUCUUCCACAACGAUAAAAAUUUCUAAUCCUUAUAUAUGCGUACAUAGAAUUGGGCGACGAAUGAGAGGAUCAAACCAAUGUGCUAUGCGCGCACGCAACAAGCAUGAAACAACGAAGGGAACUGAACAAUUUGUUGGUGCAAAAGUAAAGUUUGGAAGCAACAAAUCAUAUAUAAGUGUAACAAGUCAUUUCAAAUUUGUAGAAGAAAAUAUGCACAAUAUUAAGAGCAUGCUUUGACAAGAGUGGGUGAGAAUGUUGUAUCAGUGUACUUGGUCUUAAUUAGAUAACCAAGGGACAAAUACAAUUAAAGUAUGAUAGGCAUGGGUGUAAGCAAUCAUAUCUAGUCAUGACAUUGUAUACAAAUAAAAAGAAUAUAACUGCAAUAUAGCAAACAAUUAGGUCGGUGGAAGAAGGGACGGAAAAGCAAUUCGGCUCCCGGGUCCAGAUGCUCCUGCUAUCUGGACCGCACCUCUUCUUUGCGAUUUCCGCACAGGCCUAUAUUCACUGUCGUAUUAUGAUUAAAUAGUACUAGGCCUGGCCCACCUAUCAGACAUACAGACUGGAAGCGGCUCCGUAACACCGCUAUAGUACAGAUCGGCUGAGACGGAGGUGGACCAACAGCCGCCGUCAUCCCCUAGUAGAUAUUUAUGGCCGGAUCCCCCACCCCCAACCUACCCAUCGUCUUCCUCGGUUCAUCCACCAGUGCCUCACUUUCCUCUCCCCUCUCCCUCGGCAUGGCAAUGGAGUCUUUGUCCUCCGCCACCAAGCGUAGGCCGACACCGGCACCCCUUCCGCUCAUCCCCUGCCCAUUUUGCGGCGCACAAGCCCUCACCUUCGUCUGUGGCCCUCAUGGAUCUAAGCCAUCCCCAUCCCACCGUCGCCGCUCUUCUGGACUAGGCCAUUGUUGCUGAUUCUUCCAGCGGCUGAGCUAUCCAUAUGCGAACCACCAUUUUUCUAGCCCCAAUUGAGUAGCUAUAUCUCGAUGCACCAGUCUUACUCACCCACAUCUAUCUGUUCAUCUCAUUCCCAGAGAACCAUGUCCGACUACACUAGCCGUGACGAUAUUAGCGAUAGGCAGAUCACCCCACCAGAUCCAGCACGGCUGCUGGCACAGCUAGUCGCUCAGAUGGUCUCCCCCCAAAUACAACAUCCAGAAGCUCUGUCAGGCAUGUUGUGACUUUAAUGAAUGGGUUUAGUGAGUACAAACGCCACAGACACUAACAUUUUGGUCGCUGACGCCCUUAGAGUGCACCCUCCGGCGAUUUCCUUCUUCAGGGCGCUGGAGGCUGGAGAGGCCGCAUCUUGGAAUGCACUUGUGGCUGAGCUCGAGGGGAGGAUCCUCAGCCAGGAAAAUGACACGGUCGCGUGGAGGCUAACUGCUUCUCAGAAAUUCUCGGUGAAAUCCUUAUACGAGAAGCUGAUGGAGGGGAAUGAGCUAGACAUGGCUAGGGGGCUUUGGAAGGCUGGCAUUCCCCUCAAGAUCAAGAUCUUUGUGUGGAAAAUGUUCCGUAAUCGCCUUCCAACCUCGGAUAAUGUGGCUAAGCGUAACGGGCCGGCGAACGGGACAUGCGCCAUUUGUGGCCUCGGGGAGGACGCUAACCAUGUCUUCUUCGGGUGCUGUCUUGCUAGAUUUGCGUGGAGCGCGGUUAGAGAUACCUUUAAACAGAAUUGGAACCCGCAAACAAGCGUCGAUCUACUCAACUUGCUUUCGGCAUAGAGGGGUGCUAAUGCAAGGUUGGUGUGGCGUAGCGUAGGGGCGAUGCUUUGGUCAAUCUGGAGCGUGAGGAACAAAAUUACCAUAGAACACAAGUUCCCUGCUCACCCAGCUGAGAUUCUUUUCAAAUGUCACAUUUUCUUACAGGCUUGGGCGCCAUUGGGGAAGCAGCGUGACGAGGGACGCAUGACCGAGAUCAUGGAGCAGAUCAAGCUGUGCAUGGCGAAAUCAAGACUGCAAGGACAGCACGCUUGAGCCUUUUGCGUUUAGUUAUGCUUUGCCGCGACCUAUGUCAUUGCCUAUCUAUCAAGUUUGUACUCUUAUCUUUGCCUCGACGUUGAGCCCGCUGAACUUUUGUCGUUCUGAUAUGUAAGGAUGGAACCUUUCGUGGAUGUUGCCUUGGGGCUUUAUUAAUUUAUAAAGCCGGACGCUCCGUGCGUCUUUGUUCCAAAAAAAAGUACAAAUGCUGGUUAGUGAAAGAAAUAGGUUUUGGUGGGAUGCUUGAACUCCCAAUGAUCCAGAAAUUAAAUCUCAGGCUGAGCUCCUGGUGCAUGAGUAAGGUAGAUGUUCGUCGCAGAGCAGUAGUCAUCAACAGCAAAAAAAUACUACAUUUUCAGUGCUGCAGAUGUGGCCAUGGUGUUCGGCAUACGGUCUGGCAACAGAGAUGUGCUCGGUCCGGAUGGUAACAUCAAUGAUGCGGCAAGCGCGGCGGUCCUUUCUAUGUGAAGAGAAUGCACAAGCAACCCGCCAUGUCACCACUGCACGCCAUAACAUACACACCGACAUGAUCAACUUCACAGACAAGCUGAUGGCAACACUUUGCAAGUUUGCAUCCAAUUGCACAUGCUGUGUUGCGAGGGGUUACUCUGAUUGUCCCCUGAAAAUGAUAGAUGACAACGCAACAUCUACCGAACCUCAGGAGCUAGAGGACCCAGCUAAUCUACCCAGUUCUACUCUACAAGCCAUUGUACCGAACCCCAGUUUCCAGCAAAAUCCAUGGCGUGAGGCUUGAAAUUGUCUGAUUGUGAAAGUAACAUUUUUUUGUCAGAUCAUAUCUUCAUGGCCAUCAUCUACUUUCUGUUGGAAUUAACCACGCUGUCCAGUCUGGCUCGGACUUGAACUGUCACCACGUAGCCGUGUAGGUAUAGGAUUAGUAGUAACCUAGGUUAGCUACUAUAUAUAUGUACAGGUACCCUGUAAUCGAUAACCCAGAUUUAAGAAAUAAAGUAUUAGGUGCGACACGCACCUAUUGCUAUCCAUCAGCGUCCAAGUGUUUUCGCGUGCGUGUAGUUUCGCCGAGUUGUGCUAAUCCCGUCUGUUAAGCUAGCUAGCUAGGCUCUGCCAAAUCCAUCCAGCAGCUAGCUAGGCUGCUUCGUUUGGUACGUGUUCCUCUUGCUGUUUGCGUCUAUGUACGGCGAGUCUCCGCUCAACCGGCCGGAAAGUUAUCGGCCGCGGUAGUUUGUACGCGCACGUCGUCGGAAAGUACUCGACGGUUGCGUCGUCAAGGUUGGGACUGUGCCAACACUUUCCCUAAACUAUUAAUCAUUUUACUUUCUCUCACUUUCCAUAUUAAUGAUGUGCAGGAGAGUGCUCUUCUAAUAAAGAUAGACCGGAUAAAUGGAUGAGGCAAUCCGGCUCCACUUCCCGCCCUCAGCAAAUCAAGGCCUCCAAAAGCCCUAGCAAGGAAUCUGUAAGUGAUGCUCGGACAACUGAAUCAAUUUGCUCUGCUGUCCAGCACUAUGCAUGGUGCAUAUCAGUUUCAGUUAAGGAUAUGUACGCCGACUGCCAGAAGGGUGAUCCUUCGACAGUAAUUUUUGUUGUCAACCGCGUCAACAUACCGAAGUAUGUAUCAUCAAGGAGUUAUGCCACCAACCCAUGGUUCGCAGGCCGGCCAGUCGUUCCAACAUCAACUACUACCGUUGAACUUCUUGAUUCCCACUUCCAAUCGCUGUCUGCACAGCACCUUGCCAGGUUUGCAUAUAUUAUCAUUCUCCACCAUUUAAUUAAAUCGCGUGCCGCACUGCAUCACCAUAAGAAAGAGAAAUGUCUAACAGCUCCCGGGUGCCCCUACACCCUCAUGAACAGUAAAUUCAUAUAAAAUUGAAAAAAAUCAAAAAAAUCUGAAACUUUCAGGGAUCAAGGAUUAUCAAAGGUUUGAUGUUCGUGCAAAGUUUCAGCAACAAAUAACCUUCAUGGAGCCCUCACCAAAAAAAUCACUGCUAAAAAUGUACAUAAACUUUGAUUUUUUUUAUUUGAGUGCUCUUCGAAUGUUAUUUUUAGCUAAAACUUUGCAAGAUCAUCAAAAGUUUCAUGAUGUUCGAUGUCCCAAAGUUUCAGAUUUUUUUAUUUCAUUUGAAUUUGUUUUGAAUUUACUGUUCAUAGAGGGUGUAGGGGCACCCGGGUGCUGAAAAUCAUAUCUCCCAUAAGAAAUUUACUGGUUAUGACAUUUUUUUUCCAAUAACUCGAUAGUACACAAUGCGCCAUGGUUUGUACGAGUUAGCGGGAAGGACAUCAUGGAUCAGCUAGUCGGCAAUGCCAUGCUCGAUCAUGAACUAGGGUGUAUCAUUUUACGACGGCAGAACCAGGUUGAUCAGGAGUCAAACCACGCUUUACCAUAUCUGAAUCACCGUCACAUACUAGAGUGUGAUUUCUUCUCAGCACCUAAUCAAACCCAAACCAGUCAUCUAUAUAAUCAAUUUGGACCAGUUACCUAAUUCUAAAACUCCUCCCUCUUAAUUUUUUUCAGACGCUCGCUCUUUAAGGCACAAGUAUUUCUGAUUUUCUAGAGAUUCAGAAUCAAUUCAUUGGGCAAACGGUCCAGCAUGCAAUUGAGGCGUGCCAACUGGUAAUAAUUAUCCCUUCGUCAUCUUGCUCGCACUCUCCCAGUUUUUAUGUGUGGCUGAAACACAGCUUUUUGAUAGCUUGUCAUCUUACUCCAUUGUAGUUCUACAUCCCAGCAUGACGGAUGGGCCCUGUACAUUUGGGACAAUGGUAGGGAAAACGCAACGGAUGGGCCCUUGUACAAUUGGGACAUGCUUACAAGGGUUAUACAGGUAUAUGACCCUCGUCCGGGCCAAAUGGAUGCAACCAGGAUGAGCAGGCUACACACGAGCUUAUCGCGUCUCGCCUCCACGAUGCAUUGUUCGGGUGCCUAAACGACUUACAUGCUGGGUGGCCAACACCCAAGGAUAACUGGUCCACUGUUUUCCCCCGUUUCAUGGAUACCUCAAUCACCAGGUUUGUAAUUUUUUUCCCUACCAUUUUAAGCCUGUUUCUUAAUUGUUCAACUUACCCCUAUCAUGUUCAUGAUCAACACGGUGACUCGUACUAAUUACGAUAAUAAUUUUUUCAGAGGAAACAGGUAUUUGUGUUAUGCACAUCACCAGGCACCAUGAUGGUGAGAAGCUACGAAUGCCUAUCACCAAGGUAAUAGGAAUUUGAACAGACUAAACCAUUUAUUCGCCCUCAAAUACUCUUGGAAAAACACAUUCCUCACAAUGUCAAUCAUCACAUUUUCUCAGAUUAACUUGGCGAAAACUAAGAAAUCCAUUCUGCAAGACGUGAUGAAGCUUCAGGCCGACAGUUCUUUGCCAGCCGAUGCAAUAUGGUCAGUUCAUGCUCCUAGCGAUGGUUUUGAAGACAUCCUCUGAAUGCAUGCCAUUUUACGUGUCAGGCACAACACGCUUCAUGUCUUUCUCCAUAUGAGAUGAUUUUUGCAACCCACCCAGCUAUGUUGUACCUUCAAACAGAGUAGUACUUAUUAUCGUACAAGUCCCAGUACCAGGGCACAACCCAAGCAGACAAGAUCUUUGUAGUGGAUAUGUUUUUUGGUUGCUAUCAUCCUUCAUCACCACUCGGUUUAACCAUUUUUGGGGAACUUAUCAUCAUAUGAGCGUACAUACACACGUCCUUGUUGCUGAGAAAAAAAAUAUCCCAGUCGCUGUCAGACGAAACCAAGCAGGAGAACCACCCUCAGGGCAUCUCCAGCCGCGCCCCCAAGAAGGCCUCCCCAGGCGAUUUUUUCGCGCCGGCGCCGAAAAAACGGCCUAGUCGCGCCCCCAGGACGCCGAAAAUCGCCGGCUUGGGCCGAAAACAGCGCCGGCAGACCCAGCCCGAACCCGGCGCGCUGGAGGGCGCCCGGGGGCACCGGGACGAGUUGUUUUGGCGUGAAGAAACCGCGGGCCAGCCGCGUCAGCGACUCGGCGCCUCGUCUCCCCCCAACGGCCUCGGUUUCCGCGGGGAAUCAAUGGCAAGGCUGCCGCCGGUCAGCCUUGCCAUUGAUUCCUUCACGGGCGGCGCUUCACGGGGCGGCGCCAACGCCUCCCCUCCCUCGCACGCGCACACAUGGGCACGGCCAGGCUAUAAAAGCCGGCGGCCUCCACUCCACUCUCCUGUGCCCACACCGGCCCCGCCCGCCCCUUGCCGCCGUCCAGCCCCUCCCUCUCACUGCCUCUCCCGCGCGCCGUCGCCGUCGCCAUGGCAGAAGGUUUCCCCGGGGACGAGGCGGCGGCCAAUGGCUUCGGCCGCCGUUCGCUCCGCGUUCUGGAGUCCUGGCUCCUGUUCAGGCGAACAUCCCGGCGCCGCCGGACAUGCGCGCCGGGCCGUCGGGGUGGAGGCUCAGCGCCGGGGGAGUGCCCAUUCCCCCGUUGCCCAACGCCGCGGCAAAGCCGGAGUACUUCGCCGAGGAGGUCGAGAUCGUCCGCGCGUCCCUCACCGACGCCCAACGCUCCCUCCACCAGUACGCCGCCGACAACCACGCGGCCUGGGCGGCGUAUUUCGAGCGCCGCCAGCAGCAGCGUUUGGCGUCCACCAACGGCGCGCCGGUGGUUGGCGGGCGGCAGAACAGCGAGGGGCGCCACCUCUGGUGGGGCGUCCCCGGCCACACACUCGAGGGCGUACUCAUGCACCUCGAGGGCGGCAACGACCCGCCAUUGGCAUACCCCCCGGCGACGCACCGGCGCGUCGGGAUAUGGGCGCCAAGGCGGUUCGGGUCUUCCUCCUCCUCUUCCUCCUCCCGAUCCUCCUCGCACUCCUCCGGCACUCCGGCCCUGCUCGCCGUCAAGGCCGAGCCUGCGGCGGAGUCGCCGCUCGGUCGGCGCACUCGCAGCGCCGGCAUCGUCAUCAACGAGGGCGGCCGGCGCGCUUCCUCCUCGGCUCCUUCGCGCUUCGUCAAGCCGAAGACGGAGCCGGGGCUGGCGCCGGUGAAGACGGAGCCGGGUCUGGCACUGGUGAAGGCGGAGCUCAUCGACGACGACGCGGCCCUAGAAUGGGCGCGCCAGGACUCCAUUGCGAUGGAGAAGGCGCGCCGGGAGAAGGCGAAGGAGCGCCAGCGCGCCGCCCUGCGCCGCUUCGAGGAGCGCCGACGCGGCCGCGACGAAGACGGAGUCGUCGUCCUAUGCGACAGCGACGACGACGACGACGCGCCGCCGCCAGUCCACCAUGGCGACGUCGGGUCCAGCCGGGGCAUCCGCGUCAAGGAGGAGAAGGCCGACGACGACGAUGGUGGCGACGGCGGCGACGACUUCAGCCCCUUUCUUUUUUAGAUUAGCUUAAUAAUGUAAUGAAAAUGGACGAAUUUGGACGAAAUUCGCCAUGUUCAAACGAAAUUUAACUACUCUUUGUCAUAACUUCGCCGAACGGGCCCCUCUUUUUUUUUACACUCGCCUGUGGGCGGCCCUGGGGGCCGACGGCUGGGCGACGACUCGCCCCAGGGCCUUUUUUUUCGCCGGCUCACCCCCAGGCGGCGCUUUUAGACGCCCCCUGGGGGGCCAACGGCUGGAGAUGCCCUCACCCGCCUGACCCGGCCUUGAAUUUUUUUUCACCAUACAAGUGGGCAAGGCAAACGGCUGGCGGCGUCAAAAGCAAACACCUGUACCAGGCGUGCAGAGUACAUGUGCGUCCCGGUCGUUAUCCAGGAGACGUCCGUCAACUGCUGCAACGCCCGCGUCCGUACGUACAGCAGCCAGGCCUCCGUAUUUUCCAUUUUAGAUUCCUGUAUUGCUGUGACAGUGACGUCUGGCACAGAUCACGACACAUCUAGGAGUGGCAGAGAUUUCGGGUCCAUCUGGACCCGAGAGCCAAAACUCCACUCCCGAAGAAGGGAACACAAAGUUUGUAGAUACAAUACAUGUUUCGAUUUAUAUUGAUGAAACUUUUCCAAAAGAUUAUUGAUGGUAGGAAUUAAUAUAACAAAACAGUUUUGCAUGGCGAGCUAUGUACGACAAUGCCUUGAUCUUUUGUUGUCACACACAGAGUAUCUUACCAACAAUAUAGUUCACUAAAUAGUUCUCAUAUUGGCUCUUCUUUACAUAUUGAAUUAUUUAACAAUCUAAUAAUGUAGAGGGAACUGAAUUACAUAAAAAAUUGUGUGGCGGCAAACAAUUGGCUGUCAACAGAUUAAGCACAAGUUUUGGUCUAAUGUAUUUUGGCUACGAUCUUUUCUCUGUCUACCUAAUGGCUUCCGAAGACAUCUUAGACCUCAUAUAACAAAUACGCAUCAAGAGUAUCAUUUAUAGAUUGUUCAUUAUUCAUCUAAUGAUUAGGAAGUUACAAGACUAAGAAAGCAUGUUCAGUUCACUCUCUGUCUAGUAAUGUGCAGCGGUCCUAUAUUUCUAGGCAUAGAGUUGCACCUUUUUUUUUACAACUUGAUCGACUAGAAAAAUAAUUUGCUGCUAGACUUAAAAUAGCAAACCUGCAAACAAAAACAUAUCAUUUUCCCAACUCCUUGUUUCUGCCAUCAGCAUUCGAUUCGACAUUGCUGUCCAAAAUUUGCUCCCCAAGCUUGGAGAAUUUGCUUCAUAUAGUGUGUUUGGUUCCCAGUGCAGGCAGAUGAAGUAGUACCGGCUCCAGCAGGGAGAGCAUGGGCAGAGAGAAUCUUCAGCAUCAGUCAGCGAGCACAGGCAGCGAGAAGCUUUGGCGGCCCAUAGCAAGCACAGGAAGCAAGCAAGGGAGGAUGGUCAGGAGCAAACAACAGUGCGAGUUUUGUGGCGAGCAUGAAAUAAUUUCGGCGAGCACGGGCAACGAGAAGCUUUGGCGGCCCAGAGUUAGCAUGUGAAGCAGCGGUACAGGAUGACCACGAGCAAACGCCGGGUGCGAGCGUGGUGGCAAGCAUGGAAAUAAUUUCGGACUUCAUGGAAUUAAAGACGAGCAGCAAGCUCCUGGGUAAUCCUAAUUUGUGAACCAAUGUUUCUUUUUUUAGCAAUGAAAUAUCCGUGUAUUCGACCGGGCCUGCUAAGCCUGGCAGCACACGGUAAGGUGUUUGAGAUCAAAACCAUCCAAAUGGAAGAAAAGGCCGGGAUGUACAACGGCACAACUAUGCCUUUUCAAUUGCCUCUUCCAAAAGUAAAAUGGAUGUAGACUUAUAUUCUUUUUCAAUCGCCUAGAGACCAUAAAAACUAGUCCUCGAAAAUAAUUGCUGCGAUCUACCAUUUUUGUGAAUCUAUGAGGCCUAAAAUUACAAGUGAUGCAUAAUGUCACAGUUAUUUUGUCAUGUCAGAUUAUCGUAACGGUCGUUGGAACAAAAAAGACGCAAUUAUAUCCCUGAGCUUGAUUAGCUCUUUCACAAGGAAGAAAAUAGCCACUACCCAAUCGCGUAAACAAGAACGCCGAAUUGUGAUGAUGAGUUAUCACAAUUCAAAAAUUUGUGCGGAAACUAUGAAGGAAAGCAAAUAGAUGAGAUAGAAAGUUUGCCACUUCAUAUUGUUGGCGAUAACAACGAUGGUGGGAAGCUGGUAUACAAGCAUGUCCUCGACAUGCCAGACCAGACAUGUUUACUCCAAGCUCAUUUAUGCUCUAUCAUUUGUGCAAAAUCACUAUUUCUGCAAAAUUGCAGAGACAUUUAUUAUUACAUUCCACAGUUUGAAAGGUUAUUAGUGCAAAUAUAUACAUGAAUUACAUUCUUAAAGACUUCUUUGCCUUCAAGCAAUACAUCAGUGAUCAGGCUUUCCAAAUAGACCUGAUCAUGAAGGGAGAAGAAUAGACGGACAAGACAUCCAAUCAGAAAAGAAAAAAAUUUAAAUGGGCUCGGUUAUAAAAAUAUCCUCAAGAAAAUUCAUUGAGGAUCGCCAUAUAAAAUGCUAGGGAGUAACAAUUAUGUAUGUGUGUUGAUAUUAGCAAUCAUUCACUCAAAAAUUAAAUUUACGCAUUGAGGACAUAUUUUUGGAACGCCAGAUAAACCUGCAUUCCCACUAAUUUAUCAAUAGGAGUAGCCUCCAGCAAGACUUUGAAGUCAUGCAAAAGGAGAAAGCUCAAAGAUAAGCUUGGGUCACAGCAAAAGCUAACAUCUAAAAAGCAUCAGGUUAAUCAGCACACAGCACGAGCUAAUUAGCACGUACGUAGCAGCUUCUCAACCUCUCGGAUGCUCAAAACUUUAACCCCAACCAAAUACACGAGCUUCCAGAGCCUGCUCCCCCUCCAUUAUUCUGCAAUAGGGACCAAAAACAAAUCUGUAGUAAAGUAGGGAACACGAAAACUGAUUAGGAAGAUAAAAGAUUCCUUUUCAAAACAAGCAAUGUUUCUUAUUUCCAAAAUUGAACACCAUAUUAGGUUGCCGCCAUAAAAAAUAGGUGAUCAACUUUCUCCUUUGCAGUACAAAAACAACACCUUGUAUGCACAACUUGUGUAUAUAGAUACCACAUAACCAAUUCACACCAAUACAAAUUUCUGGGAUGUGGACAUUCCGUAAAAUAAAACUAAAUACAUAAAGUAAACAGUAAACACCCCCUUUAGCGUGUACUAAGCAUAGCGGAUGCCAAGAAUCAUUCAAGUUGACCAAACACACUUGACUAUGACUGAAUCCAAGACUUCAAAUUCUAAUUAUGUACUUCUAAUGAGAAGUCCACGAAAUCUGCUUCAACAAUACCAGGCACAGACAAUUACAUUAUAAUUAGAAAUUAUACUAAAUAAUGACAAGCACAAAGACUCGUCUCCCAUCCCAGGGGACAGCGGUCAACAAAAUAUAUAAUCUAAGCAAGCAUACGCCAUAAAAACCGGGAUGAACAAGGAAGGAUAAGGUCUGGCAGUACACUUGAAGUAAUUACCUGUCCAGAGGCCAUUGGAAAUUAUCAGUUGAAGAAUUUCGGAAGUAAGAUAAUGGGAGUAGCAGCCUCCAAGAUCUGCCCAAAUAAAUUGACCACAACCAGUAUGAACAUCACCUGCACAAAAUUUGGGAUUGAGAGGAUAUCAGGAUAAUGUAAUUGUUUGGUGUAAGAACGGGAAAGAGAUAUAGGAGAACCUAGCCGAGUGCCAUGCUGAUGGGUGUUGCCGGAGUGGAAAUAAUUAGUGAAGAGUGAUAGGGGCAUAAAUACACGUACCUGUACCGAGGCAGCGAAAGGAUGGGCACAUCACCUGCCAUGAAUGCAGAGAAACCAAAGAAUGAUUGCUUCUUCAAAUCCCAACGGAGCAGUUGUCCUCAGCGGAACAGCCAUAGUGUCGGCCUACAUCUCCCGCAUAGGCUCUCCUUGCCCUAAACCGUGGGACCGAUCAAUCCAUCGCCUCCUCUCUCUAGCAGGGACCGUCCACGUCAGCUCGCUCCCCCAUUUCUCAGCCUAGUUUACCAUAGGGCUUCAAAUUUUCCUCUGCAAAAGCAGCCCUCUAGGACUUUUCAGCCCAGGAAUCAGAAUGUACGGUGAAAGCCCGAGUAGACAACAGACUAAUGGUCAUGGUUGCGCCCAAGUCACAAAAAUGGAUGGCCAGAAACGCGCUGGGCGUUAGAUGGUUGGAAAGCUGCUCAGUAUUACUGUCCUAAAAUGUGGCUAAAUUACCGUAUAUCAGAAACAUAGCUCAUCAUGACAUAGUUCAUUGACCGUGAACCAAGGUCUAGAUUUUGUUUGUUAUUGUGUGAAUCACUGGAUCGAAAAUUACCUGAGUGUGUUGCGAUAACUCGGUGCCAAUUUCGUUGUUUGUUAACAGAAGAAAAUCCUGUCUUCUAACAUUUUCCUAGAGUAUUUAUAAAGCAACUGUUGAAAAAGCACAAUUCAACAACCACAAACCAGAGAAUUUCUUGAACAGACGAGAUAAGCAAAUCUAUACCAAUAUAAAAAAACAUGAGUUAGGAUGAGGUUCUUUUGAUCUAUGCUCUCCAAAAAUAUAUUUAAAAUUUAUAACUAUCAAUCCCAUGGUUGUGGGUAAAUAUUAUACCAUCUCCUAAUCAUAGUAUAUGUAUAGUUUGUUAAUUCAACUUAUUUAUUCAUAGUUACUUUCUGAUUUUAUUUUAUGUACGUGGAAAUUUAUUACUCAUUAUUACAAUUUUCUAUCGUGAUAUUUAUGUAAAAGAAGCCGGUGUCAUUACUAUCGAGAUGGACAUGCUAUUUCAAGCUUAUAAACAAAUUUUCAGUCUAACAUUGAAUUCUACACCGAUAUGCUGGCUUUAAAAAAGUAUCUGUUUGGCUAAAAAUAAUCUGGCGAGUAUACAACUGCAUCUCGACCAUCGAAGUGCAUACAUAAGUAGGAAGGCUAACUUCUGUCCCACUGCUUUUUUUGGCGACAAAAAUCUCAUAGUAGCGCCUUUUCAAACUAUAUGGUUUCAUCGACAUGGACAGGAUGAACCCACAUCAGAAAAUCCUGGUGCAUCUUCUUCAUCCUCGUUCACCUCUUUGGCUCUCCCUUCACCACGGUUUCCUUCUAUUCUUUGAGCUCAUCUCCCACCUACAUGCUAAGAGUCACCACCACAAGGUGGGCUUCUAGGAUCUCCUUCCUAGUAGUCGCCACCAGGAUGUAGCGUCAGGAUUCAAGUGCAUGGAUCCCUAACUCCGGCAAAGGAACAUUCGUAUAAAAGUUUGAAUCGUCAUUUUGUCAAGGGAUGUAAUAUAGUUUUGUACUGUUAUUUUUUUUUGCUAGACACAACCUCAGCCUAAGGUUCACAAAGGGAUAGAAAUACAAAUAUGUUCUCUCCGAAGGACAAUAUAUGGAUCUCACAAUUUCAAUAGAUGUUCCAACAUCU